Cinara cedri is the source of this 1457-nucleotide non-coding RNA. The record is from the annotation of a GenBank genome assembly. Lineage: Eukaryota; Metazoa; Arthropoda; Insecta; Hemiptera; Aphididae.
AGAGAUAUUACAAAAUGUUGGUGUACUGAUGAUGAUGCCUUAUGUUAAAUAAGGAAGAACUUGUUGACUAUUCAAUUAUAUCAUUAGAAGUGAAAACGAAUAAAAAAUGCAAUCAAGCAAGAUGUCAUAAAAAAAACAACAACAAAAGUUUGUAUUACUUGCAAUAGCUUACACUGCUACGGGUACUCGAAAGUAUUAUCAAUACAUCAUAUAUGUUUAAUGUAUAUACUUCAACUGUAAUUUAUGUUGGACAUAUGUUUAAAACAUUGCAUCUGUAUUUAUGUUUAUAGAUACAUUUAUUUAAGGAGCAAAAUCAUUUGCUUAUAAUGAUUUAUCCAAAAAAGCUUUUACUUCCUGUAAUACUUGUGUAAAAGUAAGUUUCAAAUAUUUAAAAUAUUAAAUGAAUAAUGUAAUUAAUUUGAUAUGUAGUUAUUAAUACUUAUACAUUUUUAAAUUAAUAAAUAAAAGUGUAUAAUUAUAAUAAUAUGAUAAACGUUUUUCUUUUGUAUAAAAUUAUAUUAAGAUAUUUAACUAUCACUUAAUUUAAUAUUUUAAAUAAUUUUGAUUUUAAAAAAUUUAUCACAGAUGUUAUUCCUUAGUGUGAAAAUGAAAUUAAUUAAAUAAUUGUAUUAUCAGUUAUCUCAGUACCUCCAUUGUUCAUUAAUGAGUGUACUGAAUUUUUAGUAUUAUUUGAUGUGUAAUUAGUAUUAAAUUUAAUUGUUUUCCAAAUCGCCUCUAUUAUUAUAUAUUUUAUUUUGAUAACAGAUAAUUUUAGAUUUCUUUAUCAAAAUAUUAUGUAAAUUUUGUAUUUGUUGUAUUUUGAAUUUUGAUUUUUUGAGCAUACAUUUUUUUCUGUGUCUGAUAAGAACAAUAAUUCCUUUAAUUGUCUAUGGUUCUAAUUUAUGUUGUUACAGUUGAAUUUUCUAGACAAUUUUUUUAGUCGACUUAUUUAUACAUAAAUCAAUUGAGUUUUUAGAAUUCGUAACAUCAUUAUAACCUAAUAUAACAUUCUAAUGUUUACUAUUAAUAUUUAGAUUUAAUUUAUCAAAAUCAAUAAUAGGUAAAAGAUUGAUAACCAUACAGGUGAUACAGGUUGUGUGUUUUUUCUCCUUUGUUGUAUAACUAUUUGAUUAUAGUACUCUACAUGAAAACUAGUCAUAAACACACACCACCUUUUUGCUGAGCUUUAUCCUCAUAUUUUUAUUUGUAUUUGGCAUGUAUAUAUAUUUUUAUAUUAUCGAAUAUCUAAACAAAUGUUCUAAUUUUCGAUUUGUUUUUAAAUGUUAUGAUAUAUUUUAGAUAUAAUUAUAUUUUUUUAAAUAUUUAUCUAUUAUAGACAGAUCAUCAAUGCCAUGCAAUGUAUCAGCCGAUAUUCUCAAAAGUUUUUGUCACUGGACUGCUCACUGAAUGGAUACCCAAUAGAUAACAGAAAAUAUGUGAAUCAAAGUUUCAAUGAG